GUACUGUGAACCAAGCGGUUAAGGUGGUGGUCUGCAAAACCUCAUGGACAGGUUCGACUCCUGUACAGUACUCA
This 74-nucleotide transfer RNA is filed under the name Myoviridae sp. ctPuP5. RNAcentral's name for it is "tRNA-Cys". It matches the Rfam family "tRNA". From Rfam's summary of the family: Transfer RNA (tRNA) molecules are approximately 80 nucleotides in length. Their secondary structure includes four short double-helical elements and three loops (D, anti-codon, and T loops). RNAcentral also lists the same sequence under 1 other name. The record is from RNAcentral. Lineage: Duplodnaviria; Heunggongvirae; Uroviricota; Caudoviricetes.